Molecule: ribosomal RNA, 656 nt
Filed under: Eucheuma denticulatum
Lineage: Eukaryota; Rhodophyta; Florideophyceae; Gigartinales; Solieriaceae
Description: eukaryotic LSU rRNA
Rfam family: Eukaryotic large subunit ribosomal RNA
Source: RNAcentral
GGAAUCCGCUAAGGAGUGUGUAACAACUCACGGGCCGAAUGAACUAGCCCUGAAAAUGGAUGGCGCUCAAGCGUGUUACCCAUACCUCGCCGUCGGGGUAGAAACGACGCCCCGACGAGUAGGCAGGCGUGGGGGUCCGUGACGAAGCCUUGGGAGUGAUCCCGGGUCGAACGGCCCCUAGUGCAGAUCUUGGUGGUAGUAGCAAAUACUCAAAUGAGAACUUUGAGGACUGAAGUGGGGAAAGGUUCCAUGUGAACAGCAGUUGGACAUGGGUUAGUCGAUCCUAAGGCAUAGGGAAGUUCCGUUUGAAAGGCGCCCUCGUGCGCCGUGUGCCGAAAGGGAAGCCGGUUAACAUUCCGGCACCUAGAUGUGGAUUCUCCACGGCAACGUAACUGAACGCGGAGACAUCGGCGGGGGUCCUGGGAAGAGUUCUCUUUUCUUCUUGACGGCCUAUCACCCUGAAAUCGGUUUGUCCGGAGCUAGGGUUCCACGGCCGGCAGAGCCCUGCACCUUUGCAGGGUCCGGUGCGCCCCCGACGAUCCUUGAAAAUCCGCGGGAAGGAAUAGUUUUCACGCUAGGUCGUACUCAUAACCGCAGCAGGUCUCCAAGGUGAACAGCCUCUAGUUGAUAGAACAAUGUAGGUAAGGGAAGUCGGC